Molecule: ribosomal RNA, 481 nt
Filed under: uncultured bacterium
Lineage: Bacteria
Description: bacterial SSU rRNA
Rfam family: Bacterial small subunit ribosomal RNA
Source: RNAcentral
CUACGUGCCAGCAGCCGCGGUAAUACGGAAGGUUCGGGCGUUAUCCGGAUUUAUUGGGUUUAAAGGGAGCGUAGGCCGUAGAUUAAGCGUGUUGUGAAAUGUAGAUGCUCAACAUCUGACUUGCAGCGCGAACUGGUUUACUAGAGUGUGCGCAACGUAGGCGGAAUUCGUCGUGUAGCGGUGAAAUGCUUAGAUAUGACGAAGAACUCCGAUUGCGAAGGCAGCUUACGGGAGCACAACUGACGCUGAAGCUCGAAGGUGCGGGUAUCAAACAGGAUUAGAUACCCUGGUAGUCCGCACAGUAAACGCUGGAUGCCCGCUGUUGGUUCAUUAGAGUCAGCGGCCAAGCGAAAGCAUUAAGCAUCCCACCUGGGGAGUACGCCGGCAACGGUGAAACUCAAAGGAAUUGACGGGGGCCCGCACAAGCGGAGGAACAUGUGGUUUAAUUCGAUGAUACGCGAGGAACCUUACCCGGGCUKAA